This is an RNA transcript of Musa acuminata AAA Group (dessert banana), 1707 nucleotides long. It is a transcript of the gene named protein SENSITIVE TO PROTON RHIZOTOXICITY 1, with no coding region annotated. The transcript has 3 exons. Lineage: Eukaryota; Viridiplantae; Streptophyta; Magnoliopsida; Zingiberales; Musaceae. The record is from RefSeq and is a predicted model, not a curated record.
CGACAUGGAACUCCUUCCCCGUCAACAAAGCUGAGGCCCUUUUCCUCUCCACCACUACCGUCCUCCCCUCUCAAGAUGAAUGGCUCCGGCGGUCGGAACCCUGGCCAGGAGCCGUUCUUGCCCCUCGGCGGUGGCGGCCGUGACCCCGGGGGCGCGCCCUUGGCGAGCCACGACCCCUUCCUACCCCUCCUCAACCUCUCCGCCCUCGGCCAGAAGAUGGACUCCCUCCGCCGCUUCCUCUCUGAUGCCAUAGACAGUCGCACCGUCAUCGGCGAUGACCAGCUACAGAUGGUCUCCUCCCAUAUCGCCUCGGCCGUCCAGGGGAUCAUCCUCAACGGCGCCGCUCUUCUCGCCUCCUCCCAACCGCUUAAUCCCUCCCCCUCCUUCGCUGCCGCUGCUGGUCCCACCUCUCGAGAUGCAGUGACCCCUCGCUUCGCCGAGACCAGAUCCGGUAGUCCGCCGUCCAUCCAAUUCGGAAACGGAUCCGAGCCGCCGACCUCGGAUCCGGCGGCGGCGAUCGGGGAGGAGGACGACAUAGUGGAGAUCGAUGCUGCAGAGCUUCUGGCGGAACAUGUCCACCUCUGCGAGAUCUGCGGCAAGGGUUUCAAGCGUGACGCGAACCUCCGGAUGCACAUGAGAGCUCACGGCGACCGGUUCAAGACCCUGGAAGCCCUCUCGAAGCCGGACCGGGAAGUUCGCCCGUCGGAUGGCGGGGAGGCGGUACCCGGGAGAAGAGUUAGGUUCUCUUGCCCGUAUCCCGGGUGCAACAGGAACCGGGCGCACAAGAAGUUCCGACCACUCAAGUCGGUGGCGUGCGUGAAGAACCACUUCAAGAGGAGCCACUGCCCCAAGAUGUAUUCUUGCCACCGGUGCAAUAAGAAGAACUUCUCGUUGGUGGCUGACCUUAGGAGCCACCUCAAGCAUUGCGGAGUGACCCGGUGGCGGUGCUCGUGUGGGACAAGCUUCUCGAGGAAGGAUAAGCUUUUUGGGCAUAUCACUCUGUUCGAGGGGCACAUGCCAGCGGUUGAAGUGGGUGCGGAGGAGGAAGUGAAGAAGAAAGGUGUGAUUUUGGAAGUAGACGAAGAAGAAGAGGAAGGAGUUGGAGGAGCAGAGAAGGAUGGCGAGGGUUUUGAUUCUGAAUUUUUUAAGGGCAUAAUGGAGGAUUUUGAUGAGAUUGAGCGUCGAAGCGGAAGGAUGCGUUAGCAUCUCUGUGAAAUACAUCAAAGAGACUUGUGUAGGGAUGGUGAGCAGACGAAGCCUCCCAACUGUUCCUCUUGUAAUUUAGGUGAUCAUAUGCCAACCCUCUUGUAUCUGGUUUUCAGUGGGCAGUCCGUUUUAGCAAUCAAACAGGUUGCCUAUAGAGAUGACAGACCUAGAUGCUUCGUCAUCUCCGGGCAACGACAAGGAGACAGAACGCAUUUUGGUGCAUUCUCCAGAAUCUUUCAUCUUGACCUGAGCUAAACUUAUGCAUUACAAGGCUCUGGAAGUUGUAGGUCAUCACUUCCACUCUGAAAGCUUGUAAAACAGUACAAGAUGCAAAGAACAAGCGUGUGGGUAGAGUAUCUGUAUAUAUGAUGUUUAAGGUCUACCUUUUCCUAUCUAAUUUUACUUAUGAUAAUUAGUUGUACAACAUUUCUCUUUUUAUAUUUUUGGUGCAACCUUAAUAAGGAGUUGAUAAGAAAGUCAUUUAUCAUAUGUUUUUAAGCA